GAUGAACGCUGGCGGCGUGCCUAAUACAUGCAAGUCGAGCGAACAGACGAGGAGCUUGCUCCUUUGACGUUAGCGGCGGACGGGUGAGUAACACGUAGGUAACCUACCUAUAAGACUGGGAUAACCUCGGGAAACCGGAGCUAAUACCGGAUAAUAUUUCGAACCGCAUGGUUCGAUAGUGAAAGAUGGCUUUGCUAUCACUUAUAGAUGGACCUGCGCCGUAUUAGCUAGUUGGUAAGGUAACGGCUUACCAAGGCAACGAUACGUAGCCGACCUGAGAGGGUGAUCGGCCACACUGGAACUGAGACACGGUCCAGACUCCUACGGGAGGCAGCAGUAGGGAAUCUUCCGCAAUGGGCGAAAGCCUGACGGAGCAACGCCGCGUGAGUGAUGAAGGUCUUCGGAUCGUAAAACUCUGUUAUUAGGGAAGAACAAACGUGUAAGUAACUGUGCACGUCCUGACGGUACCUAAUCAGAAAGCCACGGCUAACUACGUG
Molecule: ribosomal RNA, 497 nt
Filed under: uncultured bacterium
Lineage: Bacteria
Description: partial 16S ribosomal RNA
Rfam family: Bacterial small subunit ribosomal RNA
Source: RNAcentral